Papaver somniferum (opium poppy) is the source of this 1884-nucleotide RNA transcript. RefSeq lists it as uncharacterized. The record is from RefSeq and is a predicted model, not a curated record. Lineage: Eukaryota; Viridiplantae; Streptophyta; Magnoliopsida; Ranunculales; Papaveraceae. The transcript has 7 exons.
GAAUCAAAUACCCACCAAACCCCAUCUUUGUUCUCUCCCUAACAAGAAACUAUGUUGAGAAAGAUCGCAGUUGUCUUGCUAGUUGGAAUUAUAGGUUGGAUAUAUCAAACAAUCAAACCACCGCCUCCAAAAAUAUGUGGGUCUUUCAAUGGUCCACCAAUUACUUCACCAAGAAUCAAGCUCAGAGAUGGAAGACAUCUUUCUUACUUGGAAUCAGGCGUGCCCAAAGCUAAAGCUCAGUUCAAACUCAUACUUGUUCAUCCUUUUGGUGAUUCCAAAGAUUUCUAUCUCAGAGCAUCCAAAGAACUUAUUGAAGAGCUUGGGGUAUAUAUUUUGUCAUUUGAUAGAGCUGGAUAUGGAGAAAGUGAUCCAAACCCUGAAAGAUCAGUGAAGAGUGAUGCGUUUGAUAUCCAGGAACUUGCUGAUCAGUUAGUGCUUGGUUCAAAAUUUUACAUUAUUGGGAUUUCUAUGGGUGCUUACCCAGUUUAUGGUUGUCUCAAACACAUACCAAAUAGGAUCGCUGGUGCAUCUUUAGUAGUUCCAAUGAUUAAUUACUGGUGGCCUUCAUUUCCUUCAAAUUUAUCUGAAAUUGCGUUUAAAAGACAUCUCUUGCAAGAUCAAUGGGCAUUUAGGGUAACACACUAUGCACCUCAGUUGCUUCAUUGGUGGUUAACCCAGAAAUGGUUUCCUUCUCUGUCUAGUUUAGAGGGGAAGCUAGAUCUGUUUAGUAUCUCAGACAGAGAGAUGCUGAAAAAGAUUGCUGAAAACCCGAAUCCUAAUCAGCUUAAUUUUCAGGGAAAGGGAACACAGCUGGGUAUCUUUGAGUCUCUACAUAGAGAUUUAAUGGUGGCAUUUGGAAGUUGGGAUUUUGAUCCUAUGGAAUUGAAGAACCCGUUUCCUGGAAACGAGCAUAUUGUUCAAAUUUGGCAAGGUUAUGAAGAUAGGAUUUUUCCAUUUAUACUACAACGUUAUGUUUCAGAAAGACUGCCAUGGAUCAAGUACCGGGAGGUUGUUGAUGUUGGUCAUUUGAUGCCUUACAACACCACUAUAUCGGAUGCCAUCUUAAAGGCUCUCUUAAUAGGAGAAGAACCAUCUUUCAUGUAACUAACUCUCUUAUGGGUGAAGUGUAAAUGAGAUGCUUGUUAAGGUGUAACAGUGUCAGAUAUCAUGUAUUUUUCUCAUUAAUGAUUGCAUUAAUGGCUUAUUAUAAAUCUAUCACUUUGAAAGUUAAGGUUCACCAUUUUUCAACCAAGAAUAUCAGUGUUUGUUAUCCUUUUCAAGAGUCUUCAUUUGAAAAUCCCCUUUCAGGUUAUGGUGGUGGUGUUGGUGGGAGUUCUUGGGUUUGUUUAUCAGGCCAAUCACCAUUUCCCAGACUAUGGGGGUCUUUUGAUGGUCCUACUGUUUCUUCACUUUCGGACUCGGCGAUGGAAGAUAUCUCGCAUACAAAGAAUCAGGUGUACCUAAAUCUAAAGCUCGGUUUAAGACCAUUGUCAUUCACGGCUUCAGUGAUGCCAAAGAUUUUUAUCUGCCAGUAUUCGAAUUCUUGUAGGAAGUUGUAGAGGAGUUGGGUGUUUACUUCUUGACAUUUUAUAGAGCUUGGUUCAAGAUUUUACAUGGUGUUUCAUUGGAAGCCUUUGAUGUUGUCUUAAAUACAUACCAAACAGGAUUGCAGGUGCAUCCGGUAGUAAACUACUGGUGGCCUUCCUUUCCUUCAAAUGUAUCGAAAAUGACAUUCAAGAAAUUGCUCUUACAGGAUCAAUGGAUAUAUAGAGUAGCACAUUAUGCCCCACGAUUACUGUAUUGAUGGUGUACUCAAAAGUGAUUUCCUUCGAUGUUCUUAAUGGAGGAUGGCUGUUGUGAGAAUCCAGCUGUUUUUAGCACCUC